GAACUUUUUGAUGCUUAGUCUCGAGAAUGAAACAAAGGACGUCGAAGCCUGUUAUCUCGCCGUGAUGAAUCAAAUCAUUUUCAAAAACGGUAUUUCACCUCAAAGGUUGACGGACUAUUGUAUGAACAAGGCGCCCACCAAACUAGAGGAAGCCUUCGAAGUCUCCGUCAAACUUAUCCAGGCGCAGCUGCAGCAGAAGCUCGGUCACGACGUUACACUUCAAUCGAUUCUCAUUUCCGAUUACGCUCAUCGAUCGGUUGUAGUUUGGGUUGAGCAAAGAUGCUAAAUUCAAGCAGCAAACAAAUUUACUGAACCAGCUUAUCGACUGCAUUGCUAAAUUUCGUGUUCAUUCCCCAAUGAAAAUGCUGAUAGUUUCGUUAGUUCCAACG
Uranotaenia lowii is the source of this 389-nucleotide long non-coding RNA. RefSeq lists it as uncharacterized. The record is from RefSeq and is a predicted model, not a curated record. NCBI's taxonomy places the organism in Eukaryota, Metazoa, Arthropoda, Insecta, Diptera, Culicidae. The transcript has 3 exons.